GGAGAGGUGGCUGAGUGGUUGAAAGCACCGCACUCGAAAUGCGGCAUGGGGCAACUCCAUCGGGGUUCGAAUCCCUCCCUCUCCGCCA
This 88-nucleotide transfer RNA is filed under the name Brucella tritici. Its description in RNAcentral is "Ochrobactrum tritici tRNA-Ser". It matches the Rfam family "tRNA". Rfam says of the family: Transfer RNA (tRNA) molecules are approximately 80 nucleotides in length. Their secondary structure includes four short double-helical elements and three loops (D, anti-codon, and T loops). Lineage: Bacteria; Pseudomonadati; Pseudomonadota; Alphaproteobacteria; Hyphomicrobiales; Brucellaceae. The record is from RNAcentral.